This 2465-nucleotide long non-coding RNA is filed under the name Brassica rapa (field mustard). RNAcentral's name for it is "long non-coding RNA (BRAP_LNC008596)". Lineage: Eukaryota; Viridiplantae; Streptophyta; Magnoliopsida; Brassicales; Brassicaceae. The record is from RNAcentral.
AAAGAUUAUGGACCGAUGGACCGAAGGUUUAUAAUUCUCGUGGUCUUAAAAAAACGUAAGUUCGGUUUAACAUUUCUCGGGUUAAAUUUCGUUUUGUUUUCUUACUGAUUAGAUGUUAAAAAAAAGACAGUAAAUACCUAGAGGGAAAGCUAAAGGGAAAGUACAUAUUUGUCAUAAUUAUGUGAAUUGUUGGUCGUUAAAAAAAUGUGAAUUGUUGUUGAAGUGAAGGGUGUCACAGGGAAAAAAAUGAGAAAUGAUGUAGCCACCCAUGUAGGGAAAGGGCCUGCCUACCACUUCGAGAGAUGUUCAAUUUUUUUUCAUUUUCUUUUUGGUUAAUUAGGAAUACUUGUAUAUACAGAGGAAUUGAACUGGAAGUUCGGCAUUUUAUGUACCCAUCAAUCCAUCAUGUGUUUUGGCUUUAUACACAGUUGUUUUUCAUUUGUCUUUUCUCACUUCAAUUAUUUUGCUUAAUAGAUAUUUUAAUGUUUUUUACAAUAGUAUAGUAUGUUUUAAUAUUUUUUUUUUGUUUUUCUCCCACCAUUGUUUCGCCUCUCUAAAAACGAAAAGAAAUGUGCAUUGUUCUACUGGCUAGGUUGUUGGUAUUUUAAAUAAAAUAUUUUAACAUAUUAAAUAGUUACCAUUAGUAAGACCACUAGAUCAUUUAUUCUAUUGCUCUCAAAUGAAAGUUAGAAUUCGAUACGGAGAUUAUCCUUUCCUUUUACUGUUUUCUAAUAUCUCUUUAUGUUCGUACCAUUUUGACUUUCGCACACAGAAAAGAAUUAAAUACAAAAUUGUGAGGAUUUGUUAUAAUGUAAUAGGACUGGGAUCCGGGUCUUUGAUCCGGGCUCGAGUUGGUUCCUUCUUUUUCAUUUGAAUUCUUCGCGUUUUAGAUAUUUAGAUUUGACUAAAGUAUUUAGAUGUAUAAGAUAUCCGGGUCUUUCGCCAUGUUUCCAACUUAUAUAUUAUGUAUUUAGUUGUAUAUGUACAAGCACAUGUUCGUGCAUCACAUAAGUGCAUAUGUAACCACAUAUAUAUAAUAUUGUUUUUGCUCUAAAACAUUUAUAUUAUCUGUCGACACAUGUAACAUAUCCAUCAAACAACUUCGACCUCUACAAAUACGCUUUUUAUAACUACAAAAUACCCUUUUUUGGGACCAAUCGCUAAAUAUCCGUACAAUAUCAAAUAUUUUAAAAUUACCAACAAAGCAUAUAUAUAAAACAGGUAAGAUUGAUGGAUAAAGCGUGGGCCAUGCAUUUCUCACGUACAAGAAAUAGUUGUUAUUUAUUUAAUUAAUUGGCACUAAUCUAACUACUCUUAAGUCUCUUAUGGGUCAUGCCUAAAGGAGUCAAAUUAAACAAUGCGUGCGAAACCGCAGCCAAACAUAUGAAAGACAACUCUUAAACGUAUCUGAAUAAAAAUCCUAACAAAUAUUUAUAUUGAUAUAAUUUAGUGAAAAGUUAAAAUUGCCGACAAAUUAAUUAAUAAGUUAAAUUAAUAUAGAAUUAAUCGGGAUGGGAUAGUUAGGUCAAGUUUGAUUCUUAGUUCUUUAGAUGCUUCUAUGUGUUUGGAUGACUUCUUACUAUUGCCACAUCACUACAUGAUUAUAAUUACACACGUAUAAUUUUCAUAACUAUUUUAGUACGUAUAAUUAAAAGUGUCAUUUUCUCUUGUUUAGAAAAUAUCAUUAUUUUUGCAUUAAGUCCUAUAUAUAAGUGUAACUAACUAAUAAACUUUGUGUCAAUAAAGUAUUUCAAUCUUUUUGGCCAAAAUCUAUGACGCAUCAUAAGUUCAUAACUCUAGGUAUGUUUAAAAAAAAAAAAAGCUCUUUCUUAACCCAAAAAAAACUCGGGAAAACAUAAUGCAAAAAGCUAAUAACACGUACUAUCUAAUAAAACGAAAAUUAGAAGAUAAGGGUAUAUAUCGAAAGUAACAAAUAAGAUUCUAAGAAUGCAAGUUGACCAAUCAAUUAUCAAAACAAUAGACGAUUACAUAAGUUCAAAAAAAGAAGAAAAAUAAUAGACGACAGAUAGGACAUAGGAGUAAGAAAAGGGAUAAUUUUUACAGAUUGAGACAGCCAAAAUAAUUCCAAACCGUUACAUGUCAAUCUCACUCACCUUCAUUUUAACAUUUUGUUGUGUUUUUUUUUUUUUAAAUUGUAGUUGUAACGUAACCUUUUUUAUAUGUUAACAUAAUCCGAGUUCCAAAAAACCAUUCCCGGCUUUCACGUACUUUUUAUACUCCACGUAUUGCAAAAUUAUAUCCAAUAUUGUAGCAAUUUGAGAUAAAAAAAAAUAUUGUAGCAAUUUUAUAUUUUCGGAUAUUCUCACUUAAUUACCGAGAGGAGUAUAAGUUUAUCAAAAUUAAGUUAAUUAACUCAUCGCACUCUUUAUUAAAGAAGGGAUAAGAGUGAAAUUAUUAUCUUUUCAUAACUUAAUUUGACUCGGAUUAUGUUAACAUAUAAAAAA